GACGUAGGGCGCGAGCGUUGUCCGGAUUUAUUGGGCGUAAAGAGCUCGUAGGCGGCUUGUUGCGUCGACUGUGAAAACCUGCAGCUUAACUGUGGGCGUGCGGUCGAUACGGGCAUCACUGGAGUUCGGCAGGGGAGACUGGAAUUCCUGGUGUAGCGGUGAAAUGCGCAGAUAUCAGGAGGAACACCGGUGGCGAAGGCGGGUCUCUGGGCAGUAACUGACGCUGAGGAGCGAAAGCGUGGGGAGCGAACAGG
Molecule: ribosomal RNA, 254 nt
Filed under: uncultured bacterium
Lineage: Bacteria
Description: partial 16S ribosomal RNA
Rfam family: Bacterial small subunit ribosomal RNA
Source: RNAcentral